RNAcentral lists this ribosomal RNA (497 nucleotides) under uncultured bacterium. Its description in RNAcentral is "partial 16S ribosomal RNA". It matches the Rfam family "Bacterial small subunit ribosomal RNA", at positions 29 to 522 of the family's 1533-position model. The record is from RNAcentral.
AUUGAACGCUGGCGGCAUGCCUUACACAUGCAAGUCGAACGGUAACGCGGGGCAACCUGGCGACGAGUGGCGAACGGGUGAGUAAUGCAUCGGAACGUGCCCGGUAGUGGGGGAUAACUGCUCGAAAGAGCAGCUAAUACCGCAUACGACCUGAGGGUGAAAGGGGGGGAUCGCAAGACCUCUCGCUAUCGGAGCGGCCGGUGUCGGAUUAGGUAGUUGGUGGGGUAAAAGCCCACCAAGGCAACGAUCCGUAGCUGGUCUGAGAGGACGACCAGCCACACUGGGACUGAGACACGGCCAAGACUCCUACGGGAGGCAGCAGUGGGGAAUUUUGGACAAUGGACGCAAGUCUGAUCCAGCCAUGCCGCGUGCGGGAAGAAGGCCUUCGGGUUGUAAACCGCUUUUGUCAGGGAAGAAAUCUUCUGAGUUAAUACCUCGGGAGGAUGACGGUACCUGAAGAAUAAGCACCGGCUAACUACGCGCCAGCAGCCGCGUAA